UAGGGAAUCUUCCGCAAUGGACGCAAGUCUGACGGAGCAACGCCGCGUGAGUGAAGAAGGAUUUCGGUUCGUAAAACUCUGUUGUUAGAGAAGAACAGCGCAUAGAGUAACUGUUAUGCGUGUGACGGUAUCUAACCAGAAAGCCACGGCUAACUACGUGCCAGCAGCCGCGGUAAUACGUAGGUGGCAAGCGUUGUCCGGAUUUAUUGGGCGUAAAGCGAGCGCAGGCGGUCAAUUAAGUCUGAUGUGAAAGCCCCCGGCUCAACCGGGGAGGGUCAUUGGAACCUGGUUGACUUGAGUGCAGAAGAGGAGAGUGGAAUUCCAUGUGUAACGGUGAAAUGCGUAGAUAUAUGGAGGAACACCAGUGGCGAAGGCGACUCUCUGGUCUGUAACUGACGCUGAGGCUCGAAAGCGUGGGUAGCAAACAGG
Molecule: ribosomal RNA, 429 nt
Filed under: Bacteroidota bacterium
Lineage: Bacteria; Pseudomonadati; Bacteroidota
Description: Bacteroidetes bacterium partial 16S ribosomal RNA
Rfam family: Bacterial small subunit ribosomal RNA
Source: RNAcentral